Populus trichocarpa (black cottonwood) is the source of this 156-nucleotide non-coding RNA. The record is from Rfam. Lineage: Eukaryota; Viridiplantae; Streptophyta; Magnoliopsida; Malpighiales; Salicaceae.
UUUGGAACUCAAGAUAUAAGCUGAAUAUCGAACAGUGUCUGGGCUGCAGGACAGAUUCAGACGUCUCUUUUAUUGCUAAAAUUUGAACUUGAAAACAGAAGAUUCGAAUCUUAGACUCUUCAUGAAAGUUUUAGGCCUAUGUCUUAUCUUUUCAUC